UAAAGAUAUGUUUAAAAUUGGAAAUACUGUAUAGCAUUUUUCUGUUGCAGUCUCUGCAAGUACUGUCCUUUGCUGUAGAUAAGCUGAGUCUUGUUACAGUUGAGGAAGUCUGUCCAUCCUUAGACAACACUGGGGCAUUCAGACUGGCCAAUUGUUCAUGAUUUGGCCUGGAACAAUCCUGUGACCCACGUAUUUCCACUCCUUACUUGAUUCCAGUAUUUUGGAGCUAUGCAAAGUAUGGGAAGAGUUUUCCUGGUACCUCCUCCAAGUAGUUUUCUGCCAAUUUGAAAAAGAGGCUGUCUGGAGGUGAUGAGCAGGCUAUCACAGUGCAAACAUGAAGAGUAGCUACAAAAUUUGGAUAUUACACAUUCAGAAAUGGUGUCAGUAGUACUGUGUUGAGCCCGAUCCUUCCCACUUACUGGGACGAACCUUUAAAAAGCAGCAGCAGGUUUUGGGGAUCAGGACUAGGCAUAGAGAGUGCUGAGGUUUUUUCCUUCUUGUUCUGAGAUGUUGCAGCUAUUUGCUUUCAUUGCAGAGUUUUCUUACGUGUGAGCAGGACUGUAACAAGAAGAAUACAUCAAAAGUUAGCCCCAGGGUCCGUUCCCGGAGCAGAGAUGCGUGUGUUCUGAACGACUCCCUUGCACUAUUCUCCUGCUUGUCAGGCAGUGAUUGUGCCUGAUUUUUACCAUGUUUUUACCCACAUCUGCAGUUGUGGUUACAGCUGUAUCAAUGACAUCUCAAUAAGCAAAGUGUGCAGUGCAGCCAUGCCUCAAAGCCCAGGCAAGUAUGAUGACUUCUAAGCUUAGAUCUUACUGGUUCGAAUCUCACUGAAUGAAUUGGAUGUCAAAAGGGACCUUAAAGGACUAGGAAGGGUGGGAAGUAUGAGUGAACUGCUGCAACUUUUACCCAUUAAUGGUUUUGAUGUGGAUGGAAAAAAAACAUCAUAUUCAUUGUACUGUGAGUUGGUUACAACUGGAGGGGGAAGUGCUUAUUUUAAUAAUUUCUGGUGGAGAAAAAAGUUCAUGUCACUUUGAAAAGGCCACAAAUCUUAACAAAGUGUGAAGGGAGAAAACCAAGUCAGAGAUUGCUUACUUAGGCAAGAGUGUAGGAGGGAGGGAAGGAAUAGUGAAAAGAUAGUUUCCAUGUAGUGCAGUUACCAGAAAUGAUGUGGUGACUCUUUGAAGCAGUGAUUCAGUGUAUUUUCAUCACCCAGUUAUUGCAAAUCAGAUUUUUUUUUCUCUUACCCGUUAGCUUUGUGAGGGUUGUGAUUUCACUUCAUAUGGGGACACAGGAGGAUAAAGCUAUCGUAUAUCUUAUCUCUGCACAUUAGAAGUACUGAGGAUUGGUAUGAAAAGUAAUUGACUGUGUAUGUGUUAAUUCUUGCCUGGGUUCCUACUUUGCUGUAUAUUUAAG
RNAcentral lists this long non-coding RNA (1413 nucleotides) under Gallus gallus (chicken). Its description in RNAcentral is "long non-coding RNA NONGGAT002811". The record is from RNAcentral. Lineage: Eukaryota; Metazoa; Chordata; Aves; Galliformes; Phasianidae.